UCAUGGCUCAGUUGGUUAGAGCGCCGCCCUGUCACGGCGGAGGUCGCGGGUUCGAGUCCCGCUGGG
This 66-nucleotide transfer RNA is filed under the name uncultured Roseburia sp. It matches the Rfam family "tRNA", at positions 6 to 65 of the family's 71-position model. Rfam says of the family: Transfer RNA (tRNA) molecules are approximately 80 nucleotides in length. Their secondary structure includes four short double-helical elements and three loops (D, anti-codon, and T loops). Further hydrogen bonds mediate the characteristic L-shaped molecular structure. tRNAs have two regions of fundamental functional importance: the anti-codon, which is responsible for specific mRNA codon recognition, and the 3' end, to which the tRNAs corresponding amino acid is attached (by aminoacyl-tRNA synthetases). tRNAs cope with the degeneracy of the genetic code in two manners: having more than one tRNA (with a specific anti-codon) for a particular amino acid; and 'wobble' base-pairing, i.e. permitting non-standard base-pairing at the 3rd anti-codon position. Lineage: Bacteria; Bacillati; Bacillota; Clostridia; Lachnospirales; Lachnospiraceae. The record is from RNAcentral.